UGUGAACGUGCGACUGCGUGGAGGUCUGUGAAGCACAUACGCCGUGCCGCUGCGGCUGUGAAAGAGCGAUGGCACCGACCGACGCACGGUGUGUUUCUGUUUGUUGGUUCUGGUGCUAGAAAACUCGGCAGCUGGCUCAUCCCGCCACUUGGCGCGCGCAGCACUAGCCUAGUCAUAACUGCCACCACCACGAACGAAGCCCCGGGACGAACCACACAGCUGUGGCCGUGCCGAGACACAGCCCACACCCGCUGCCUACAAAGUGAGUAUAAACUCGCCGCGCACCACCCGUUGCUCGCCGUCCCCGUCCCCUUCCUUCGACUUCGAGCGUCCUCUGCGACACUGCAGUGACUGCCUCCGUGUGCAGGUAGUGUCUGAGAGCGGGGAUGGCGACGCACUUCGUGCUCAACACCGGCGCUAAGAUCCCCUCCGUGGGGCUCGGCACCUGGCAGUCCGACCCCGGCGUCGUCGGCGAGGCCGUCUACGCCGCCGUCAAGGCCGGGUACCGCCACAUCGACUGCGCCAGGGCCUACAACAACGAGAAGGAGGUGGGUUUGGCACUGAAGAAGCUAUUUGAAGAGGGUGUAGUCAAGCGUGAGGAUCUGUUUAUCACCUCUAAGCUAUGGUGUGGUCAUCAUGCCCCAGAAGAUGUGCCUGAGGCACUUGGGGAUUCCCUCAAUGACUUGCAGCUUGACUACUUGGAUCUUUACCUUAUCCACUGGCCAUUUAAAAUCAAGAAGGGAACAAGCAUUGGCAACCCUGAAAACUUCUUACCACCUGACAUCCCAGCUACAUGGGGAGCAAUGGAGAAGUUGCAUGAUGCUGGCAAAGCUCGUGCAAUUGGUGUGAGUAAUUUCUCAUCGAAGAAAUUGGGUGACUUGCUUGCUGUAGCCCGCGUACCUCCGGCUGUUGACCAGGUGGAGUGCCAUCCUACUUGGCAGCAAUCUAAACUCCAUAGCUUCUGUCAGUCAACUGGUGUUCACCUCUCUGCGUACUCACCACUAGGUUCACCUGGCUCAACAUGGAUGAAUGGUAAUGUCCUCAAAGAACCCGUUGUCGUCUCAAUUGCAGAGAAGCUUGGCAAAACUCCAGCACAAGUGGCGUUGCGCUGGAACAUUCAGAUGGGUCACAGUGUGCUGCCAAAGAGCGUGAGUGAAGAACGGAUAAAGCAGAACCUUGCUGUUUAUGACUGGUCUAUUCCAGAAGACUUGCUUGCAAAGUUCUCUGAGAUUAAGCAGGCCAGGCUGCUCAUGGGCAACUUCAUCGUCAACAAAGACAGCGUUUACAAGACCCACGAUGAGCUCUGGGACGGCGAAAUCUAGGACAGCUCCGUAGUCCCGUCGUGGUUGGGAGCAGGGCGCCUUGUUAGUGCCAGUUACUUGUUAUGUAUCGUCGACUAUGCGCUUAAGAAAUGUAUGAUUCGGCAUCCCCGUGGGAGGCUGGGAACUCUUCGGUAGACUGUGCAUGGAUUUGCUCCCGUAGGUGAUGGAAUUUCUGCGAAAACCGCGUCGCGUGUUGCUAAUGGAGGCAUGAAUUUAUCAGCUUGUUCCUGUCACUGGGGUUACUUGUUCUGUACUGAUUUUUCGUUUGCUGGUGUAUUUUGUGUUCCUCCAACGAAGUUGCUUCACAUGAUAAUAAAAUUGGGGCCGUUUGUUAA
This 1657-nucleotide ribosomal RNA is filed under the name Triticum aestivum (bread wheat). RNAcentral's name for it is "partial small subunit ribosomal RNA". Lineage: Eukaryota; Viridiplantae; Streptophyta; Magnoliopsida; Poales; Poaceae. The record is from RNAcentral.